AUUGAACGCUGGCGGCAGGCUUAACACAUGCAAGUCGAGGGGCAGCAUGGCUUUGGUUUACUAAAGCUGAUGGCGACCGGCGCACGGGUGAGUACCGCGUAUGCAACUUACCUGUCAGUAGGGCAUAACCCGGCGAAAGUCGGACUAAUUCCCUAUAAUACAAUUUUACCGCCUGGUUUAAUUGUUAAAGAUUUAUUGCUGACAGAUGGGCAUGCGUUCCAUUAGGUUGUUGGUGAGGUAACUGCUCACCAAGCCUUCGAUGGAUCGGGGAACUGAGAGGUUGGGCCCCCACACUGGACCUGGGACACGGGCCAGACUCCGUCGGUGGGCAGCAGUGACGAAUCUUGGGCAAUGGGGGAAUGCCUUAACCAGCCAAGUCGCGUGAAAGAUUGAGGAUCUAUGGUACGUAAACUUCUUUUAUUGGGGAAUAAUGUGCGGGACGUGUCCUGUAUUGUCUGUACCCACUGAAUAAGGAUCGGCUAACUCCGUGCCAGCCGCCGCGGUAA
Molecule: ribosomal RNA, 506 nt
Filed under: uncultured bacterium
Lineage: Bacteria
Description: partial 16S ribosomal RNA
Rfam family: Bacterial small subunit ribosomal RNA
Source: RNAcentral